GACCGGAGCGGACGUACCUCUGGCGCACCAGUUGUUCUGCCAAGAGCAUAGCUGGGCAACUAUGUACGGAUCGGAUAAACGCUGAAAGCAUCUAAGCGUGAAGCCGACCCAAAGAUAAGAUAUCCCACUGAUUCAAUCAGGUAAGACCCCUUGAAGACUACAAGGUUGAUAGGCACGAUGUGUAAGUGGAGUGAUCCAUUCAGCAAGCGUGUACUAAUAGGUCGAGGGCUUGACCAC
RNAcentral lists this ribosomal RNA (237 nucleotides) under Faecalibacterium prausnitzii. RNAcentral describes it as "partial 23S ribosomal RNA". It matches the Rfam family "Bacterial large subunit ribosomal RNA", at positions 2690 to 2925 of the family's 2925-position model. The record is from RNAcentral. Lineage: Bacteria; Bacillati; Bacillota; Clostridia; Eubacteriales; Oscillospiraceae.